This 510-nucleotide ribosomal RNA is filed under the name Schwanniomyces etchellsii. Its description in RNAcentral is "partial large subunit ribosomal RNA". It matches the Rfam family "Eukaryotic large subunit ribosomal RNA", at positions 136 to 662 of the family's 3401-position model. The record is from RNAcentral. Lineage: Eukaryota; Fungi; Ascomycota; Pichiomycetes; Serinales; Debaryomycetaceae.
GUCCGAGUUGUAAUUUGUAGAAGGUAACUUUGGAAUUGGCUCUUGUCUAUGUUCCUUGGAACAGGACGUCACAGAGGGUGAGAAUCCCGUGCGAUGAGGUGCCCAAUUCUAUGUAAAGUGCUUUCGAAGAGUCGAGUUGUUUGGGAAUGCAGCUCUAAGUGGGUGGUAAAUUCCAUCUAAAGCUAAAUAUUGGCGAGAGACCGAUAGCGAACAAGUACAGUGAUGGAAAGAUGAAAAGAACUUUGAAAAGAGAGUGAAAAAGUACGUGAAAUUGUUGAAAGGGAAGGGCUUGAGAUCAGACUUGGUAUUUUGCGUUCCUUCCCCUCGUGGGUUGGUUCCUCGCAGCUUACCGGGCCAGCAUCGGUUUGGAUGGUAGGAUAAUGACAUUGGAAUGUGACACCGCUUCGGUGGUGUGUUAUAGCCUUUGUUGAUACUGCCUGUCUAGACCGAGGACUGCGUCUUUGACUAGGAUGUUGGCAUAAUGAUCUUAAGUCGCCCGUCUUGAAACAC